RNAcentral lists this ribosomal RNA (468 nucleotides) under uncultured bacterium. RNAcentral's name for it is "partial 16S ribosomal RNA". It matches the Rfam family "Bacterial small subunit ribosomal RNA", at positions 28 to 507 of the family's 1533-position model. The record is from RNAcentral.
GACGAACGCUGGCGGCGUGCUUAACACGUGCAAGUCGAACGGAAAGGCCCUGCUUUUGUGGGGUGCUCGAGUGGCGAACGGGUGAGUAACACGUGAGUAACCUGCCCUUGACUUUGGGAUAACUUCAGGAAACUGGGGCUAAUACCGGAUAGGAGCUCCUGCUGCAUGGUGGGGGUUGGAAAGUUUCGGCGGUUGGGGAUGGACUCGCGGCUUAUCAGCUUGUUGGUGGGGUAGUGGCUUACCAAGGCUUUGACGGGUAGCCGGCCUGAGAGGGUGACCGGCCACAUUGGGACUGAGAUGCGGCCCAGACUCCUACGGGAGGCAGCAGUGGGGAAUAUUGCACAAUGGGCGGAAGCCUGAUGCAGCAACGCCGCGUGCGGGAUGACGGCCUUCGGGUUGUAAACCGCUUUCGCCUGUGACGAAGCGUGAGUGACGGUAAUGGGUAAAGAAGCACCGGCUAACUACGUG